This 497-nucleotide ribosomal RNA is filed under the name uncultured bacterium. Its description in RNAcentral is "partial 16S ribosomal RNA". It matches the Rfam family "Bacterial small subunit ribosomal RNA", at positions 28 to 507 of the family's 1533-position model. The record is from RNAcentral.
GAUGAACGCUGGCGGCGUGCCUAAUACAUGCAAGUCGAGCGAACAGACGAGGAGCUUGCUCCUCUGACGUUAGCGGCGGACGGGUGAGUAACACGUGGAUAACCUACCUAUAAGACUGGGAUAACUUCGGGAAACCGGAGCUAAUACCGGAUAAUAUAUUGAACCGCAUGGUUCAAUAGUGAAAGACGGUUUUGCUGUCACUUAUAGAUGGAUCCGCGCCGCAUUAGCUAGUUGGUAAGGUAACGGCUUACCAAGGCGACGAUGCGUAGCCGACCUGAGAGGGUGAUCGGCCACACUGGAACUGAGACACGGUCCAGACUCCUACGGGAGGCAGCAGUAGGGAAUCUUCCGCAAUGGGCGAAAGCCUGACGGAGCAACGCCGCGUGAGUGAUGAAGGUCUUCGGAUCGUAAAACUCUGUUAUUAGGGAAGAACAAAUGUGUAAGUAACUAUGCACGUCUUGACAGUACCUAAUCAGAAAGCCACGGCUAACUACGUG